RNAcentral lists this ribosomal RNA (477 nucleotides) under uncultured organism. Its description in RNAcentral is "partial 16S ribosomal RNA". It matches the Rfam family "Bacterial small subunit ribosomal RNA", at positions 329 to 797 of the family's 1533-position model. The record is from RNAcentral.
ACGUACACUCCUACGGGAGGCAGCAGUGGGGAAUAUUGCACAAUGGGCGCAAGCCUGAUGCAGCCAUGCCGCGUGUAUGAAGAAGGCCUUCGGGUUGUAAAGUACUUUCAGCGGGGAGGAAGGCAAUACGGUUAAUAACCGUGUUGAUUGACGUUACCCGCAGAAGAAGCACCGGCUAACUCCGUGCCAGCAGCCGCGGUAAUACGGAGGGUGCAAGCGUUAAUCGGAAUUACUGGGCGUAAAGCGCACGCAGGCGGUCUGUCAAGUCGGAUGUGAAAUCCCCGGGCUCAACCUGGGAACUGCAUUCGAAACUGGCAGGCUUGAGUCUUGUAGAGGGGGGUAGAAUUCCAGGUGUAGCGGUGAAAUGCGUAGAGAUCUGGAGGAAUACCGGUGGCGAAGGCGGCCCCCUGGACAAAGACUGACGCUCAGGUGCGAAAGCGUGGGGAGCAAACAGGAUUAGAUACCCGGGUAGUCCCA